RNAcentral lists this ribosomal RNA (465 nucleotides) under uncultured bacterium. RNAcentral's name for it is "partial 16S ribosomal RNA". It matches the Rfam family "Bacterial small subunit ribosomal RNA", at positions 28 to 507 of the family's 1533-position model. The record is from RNAcentral.
GACGAACGCUGGCGGCGUGCUUAACACAUGCAAGUCGAACGGUAAGGCCCCAGCUUGCUGGGGUACACUAGUGGCGAACGGGUGAGUAACACGUGGGUGACCUGCCCUGCACUUCGGGAUAUGCCUAGGACACUGGGUCUAAUACCGGAUAGGACCGCACCGUGAGGGUGUGGUGGGAAGUUUUUUCGGUGUGGGAUGGGCUCGCGGCCUAUCAGCUUGUUGGUGGGGUAGUGGCCUACCAAGGCGGGGACAGGUAGCCGGCCUGAGAGGGUGGACGGCCACAUUGGGACUGAGAUGCGGCACAGACUAGUACGGGAGGCAGGAGAGGAGAAGAUAGCACAAUGGGCGGAAGCAUGAUGUAGCGACGCAGCGUGGGGGAAGACGGCAAUCGGGUUGUGAUCUACUUUCACCUUAGACGAAGGGAUUAUGACGGUAGAUGGAGAAGAAGCACCGGCUAACUACGUG